Molecule: transfer RNA, 63 nt
Filed under: Streptomyces swartbergensis
Lineage: Bacteria; Bacillati; Actinomycetota; Actinomycetes; Kitasatosporales; Streptomycetaceae
Rfam family: tRNA
About the family: Transfer RNA (tRNA) molecules are approximately 80 nucleotides in length. Their secondary structure includes four short double-helical elements and three loops (D, anti-codon, and T loops).
Source: Rfam by way of RNAcentral
GCGCAGGUCGGGGAUACUUCUCCUGCUAAGAGAGAGACGCGGGUUCGAAUCCCGUCCGGCGCA